RNAcentral lists this long non-coding RNA (431 nucleotides) under Androctonus crassicauda. The record is from RNAcentral. Lineage: Eukaryota; Metazoa; Arthropoda; Arachnida; Scorpiones; Buthidae.
UGCAUAGACAUUGCUAUGGUUACAAAGGAUUGUGAUGUAAAGCGGGGUAAAUACACAAAUAAGUAAGGUUCAGAUUAAAAAGCAUUGAGGCAUUAAAGUUGACAUGCUCGUUCUUCUUUUACAUAUUUACAUGGUCUUUCUUGGGAGGAGCUUCCAUGGGGGCGGCUCUUGCCCUGGGUGGUCGUUUGUGAGCGACUCUUCAUGGUGUCUGGUGAGGGUUUCUGGGGCUUCUGCCAUGGCGGUAUGCUUUUUUUUAACACUUUUAACUGCUUUUGCCUCAUGCCAAUUUAUUCGUGUAUCGUUUUCAUGAGUACUUCUUGCUGGUGCAGUGUUCAGGUUCCCUCUAGCUACAUCUCUCUUGUGUUCCUGUAUUCUUAGCUCUAAUGGUCUCGCUGUAACUCCUAUAUAAGCUUCUUCCUCGUUUUUUGCGU